This 69-nucleotide transfer RNA is filed under the name Gnomoniopsis smithogilvyi. RNAcentral's name for it is "tRNA-Phe". It matches the Rfam family "tRNA". From Rfam's summary of the family: Transfer RNA (tRNA) molecules are approximately 80 nucleotides in length. Lineage: Eukaryota; Fungi; Ascomycota; Sordariomycetes; Diaporthales; Gnomoniaceae. The record is from RNAcentral.
GAUGGACUCAAUUGGUUGAGCAGAGCAUUGAAGCUGCUUUGGUUGUAGGUUCGAGUCCUAUCUUGAGCA